This 305-nucleotide ribosomal RNA is filed under the name Lactiplantibacillus plantarum. Its description in RNAcentral is "bacterial SSU rRNA". It matches the Rfam family "Bacterial small subunit ribosomal RNA", at positions 391 to 689 of the family's 1533-position model. The record is from RNAcentral. Lineage: Bacteria; Bacillati; Bacillota; Bacilli; Lactobacillales; Lactobacillaceae.
GACACGCCGCGUGAGUGAGAAGGGUUUCGGCUCGUAAAACUCUGUUGUUAAAGAAGAACAUAUCUGAGAGUAACUGUUCAGGUAUUGACGGUAUUUAACCAGAAAGCCACGGCUAACUACGUGCCAGCAGCCGCGGUAAUACGUAGGUGGCAAGCGUUGUCCGGAUUUAUUGGGCGUAAAGCGAGCGCAGGCGGUUUUUUAAGUCUGAUGUGAAAGCCUUCGGCUCAACCGAAGAAGUGCAUCGGAAACUGGGAAACUUGAGUGCAGAAGAGGACAGUGGAACUCCAUGUGUAGCGGUGGAAUAA